UUAAAUUGAAGAGUUUGAUCAUGGCUCAGAUUGAACGCUGGCGGCAGGCCUAACACAUGCAAGUCGAACGGUAACAGGAAGCAGCUUGCUGCUUUGCUGACGAGUGGCGGACGGGUGAGUAAUGUCUGGGAAACUGCCUGAUGGAGGGGGAUAACUACUGGAAACGGUGGCUAAUACCGCAUAACGUCGCAAGACCAAAGAGGGGGACCUUCGGGCCUCUUGCCAUCAGAUGUGCCCAGAUGGGAUUAGCUUGUUGGUGAGGUAACGGCUCACCAAGGCGACGAUCCCUAGCUGGUCUGAGAGGAUGACCAGCCACACUGGAACUGAGACACGGUCCAGACUCCUA
RNAcentral lists this ribosomal RNA (346 nucleotides) under Salmonella enterica subsp. enterica serovar Oranienburg. RNAcentral's name for it is "bacterial SSU rRNA". It matches the Rfam family "Bacterial small subunit ribosomal RNA", at positions 1 to 341 of the family's 1533-position model. The record is from RNAcentral. Lineage: Bacteria; Pseudomonadati; Pseudomonadota; Gammaproteobacteria; Enterobacterales; Enterobacteriaceae.